This is an RNA transcript of Oncorhynchus kisutch (coho salmon), 2248 nucleotides long. It is a transcript of the gene named RAP2C, member of RAS oncogene family, with no coding region annotated. Lineage: Eukaryota; Metazoa; Chordata; Actinopteri; Salmoniformes; Salmonidae. The record is from RefSeq and is a predicted model, not a curated record. The transcript is spliced from 4 exons.
CUUCCUUUACAUUAUGGCCUGCAUUUUGGAUUGUCGGGUAUCGUUUUAAUGUCCCUGCUGAGGACUAGAACAUAUACUAUUCGUACCACAUAUUUGGUGCUCCCUCAUUUUAUAGAUUUGGAAAGAAAAUACGAGCUGCUAACAUACUCGGUUCCACAAGACAUUACAGCUCAGUGGUGGUCGCGAGGGUGAGGCAGUAUCAGUCGGGAGAGGCCGUGAGGACGAAAUUAGGGAAGGGAGUGGGAGGUCUUCCACAUUCUCAUCCUAAACAGCAAGCAGUGUACUGUCGACAGCAUUGGACUAAAACUCCAGCCCAAGGUUCCUAAACGCUAUCUGGCUGUUCAGUGCAGCCCGCUCGGGAUAAGGACAGGGACCCGCCGUGGCAGACGUUGGCAUUGCGCUUUUGCGGCACCGGUAUGGUUUAUGAUGUGGAACAGUAUGUGAGCAAGCCACAUUCACAUGCUCUCCAUAAAUGGGGACAAUAGGAAAUCAUUAUCGUAUUGUGCAUCUUAACUAGUUAGCCACCAAGCCAUCUAAUGCGCCGUUUUGGGGCAGAUUAAAGCAACUACUGCCCUUAUUCGUGUCAAGGUAUAUUUACUGUCUGUGUAGGAUUUGGCAUAAGGCUCCUUAUCGUGAGCGAGCAUGGAGGGGCGUUGUGGAUUUAGCCAACUUUGCUAGCUAGCUUACUCAGUCCAAGACUAAUGUAUUUAACCAGAUUUGUGUUUGUUUUAACUUCUAUGUUUUCAAACUGUUAAGCAUACGUGUUAACAUUUUAACUGAGGUUCACUUGUUAGUUUGCAGAGGAGUGCUUUCAAGGUUUGCUUGAUUUAAUGUUGUCAAAGGAAAAACAAUCCAGCUAGCCAGCUAAGUAGCCCAGGUCAAGCUCGUGCACCCUAAUGAAGGAGUACAAAGUGGUUGUGUUGGGAAGCGGAGGCGUUGGCAAGUCCGCGCUGACUGUCCAGUUUGUCACGGGCACGUUCAUCGAAAAAUAUGACCCUACAAUUGAGGACUUCUAUCGGAAAGAGAUUGAAGUGGACUCGUCGCCUUCGGUGUUGGAGAUCCUUGACACGGCAGGGACAGAACAGUUCGCCUCCAUGAGAGACCUGUACAUCAAGAACGGCCAGGGUUUCAUACUUGUCUACAGUCUCGUCAAUCAACAGUCUUUUCAGGACAUCAGGCCGAUGCGAGACCAGAUCGUGCGGGUCAAGCGCUUUGAGAAGGUGCCACUGAUUCUGGUGGGCAACAAGGUGGACCUGGAGUCUGAGAGGGAGGUGGCAGGUGCAGACGGUCGGGCCCUGGCUCAGGAGUGGGGCUGCCCCUUCAUUGAGACCUCAGCCAAGAGCAAGACCAUGGUGGACGAGCUGUUUGCUGAGAUUGUCCGUCAGAUGAACUAUGCCACACUGCCAGAGAAACAGGAGCAGUGCUGCACGGCCUGUGUGGUGCAGUAAAGGAGUAGGGGGACACUGUCCUCUCCACAACUCUCUCCCAGGAAGCAGAUUUUCUUCACUGUGAGAACUAACUUCCCCACCCAUGCAGCAGACACACAGACAUACACAUUGAGGUAUUGGUCGUUUUCCUGCUUUGAUGACCUAUGACCCCAGGAACCACUUCAGCUCCAUCACACCUUCUGACCUCUCCAGCUGGCAGUAUUACCUACCAGAGGGCAGAUUCUUGUCUGUUCAUGAGCCAAUUCAAUGGAGUCUUGAGCCUGCCCAAGACUGUGGAACACAUUCACCUGCAGACUCACUGGCCUUCAUGGUUUAGGCCCAGGGAAAACCUACUUUUCAAUGUAUAGGACAGAUUUAUGAGGAUGAAGGGUUGUCUAUGGAUUUCUAUUUUCUCAUUUGGGGUUGGGGAGUGCUGGGGCAAUGAGCAGUGAUCUGCUCGGGACCACAGCGUCCCUUUUUUGAAGCUGCUCAGUCAUUAUAUCCCCUAGUUUUACUUUGUACUGGAAUUGGUUUGUUAAAUCUGAUAUCUCAUUUUGAAGUGAUUACAGCCAUUAUACAGGUUUGGGCCUCGGGACAGAAUUCAAUCAAACCGUGGUAAAUAUAUGAUUGCUGUGCUCUACAGCAGUGUUUAACAAAUCACCUAAUUUUCAAGUUGUUAGCUAGGUUUCCGACCAAUUGGCGACAGAUUUUCAUAAACGGACUUGUUGCAGGUAGAAAUCACUGCGUGAUGACGUAGUACACACAAUGUACUUUUUUGCAACCGUUUUCAUGUAUGGAAUAAAAAUCAAAAGUUCAACGUG